GACGAACGCUGGCGGCGCGCCUAACACAUGCAAGUCGAACGAGCGAGAGAGAGCUUGCUUUCUCGAGCGAGUGGCGAACGGGUGAGUAACGCGUGAGGAACCUGCCUCAAAGAGGGGGACAACAGUUGGAAACGACUGCUAAUACCGCAUAAGCCCACGGGUCGGCAUCGACCAGAGGGAAAAGGAGCAAUCCGCUUUGAGAUGGCCUCGCGUCCGAUUAGCUAGUUGGUGAGGUAACGGCCCACCAAGGCGACGAUCGGUAGCCGGACUGAGAGGUUGAACGGCCACAUUGGGACUGAGACACGGCCCAGACUCCUACGGGAGGCAGCAGUGGGGAAUAUUGCACAAUGGGGGAAACCCUGAUGCAGCGACGCCGCGUGGAGGAAGAAGGUCUUCGGAUUGUAAACUCCUGU
This 413-nucleotide ribosomal RNA is filed under the name uncultured bacterium. RNAcentral's name for it is "bacterial SSU rRNA". It matches the Rfam family "Bacterial small subunit ribosomal RNA", at positions 28 to 436 of the family's 1533-position model. The record is from RNAcentral.